AGAGAGAGAGAGAGAGAGACGGACGAGAGCGAUGACGGUAACGACAGAGGGGAAUGGAAACGCAAGUGAAAUCUGCAGACUGUUGACUGCCGUUAACGGCGACAUUACGCGAAGCGGCAGUCUCGCCUGGUAAGGUUGCAUUUGCUUACAUAACCAACGACUCCUGGGAUUUGCGUAUUACGUGUUAAGGGGACAUUGCCUAUUGGAGUGAAUAAACAGCGGCGGCGACGCUGCCAGUGACGCGCCUCGAAAUAGAUGGUGGUGGCGUUGAAGACGGCUAACGCGAGGGAGGGGGUGAAGACUCGUCAAGCCUUCGAGGUAAACAAAGCGAGCGUGUGCGCUAGUAUAUAUUAUUUUGUUGUUCGGUUCUUGCGUUUAUUUUCUAUUUUAUUGUUAUUUACUGAUACGGUACAUUUUAAAACUCUAGUCAUAUUUAUUAAUUUUACUAGUCACUAUUGUUAGUAGUGAUAUCGAAGUUUCAAGCACAAAGAGCUAAUAAAAGCAAUAAAAAAAAAUGGGAAAAAGGUGUGCAAGUGCAUGAGUGAGUGCCGUGCCGGUAUUAACUAGUGCACCUAGUGUUUCCGUCUUCUUGUUUAAUUGAAAGUGAAAUGCGUGUCAUGGUUUUAAGCGCGCACGAGGUUCCUCAAGUUGCUGUUGCUACUACCAUUAUAAAUGCUGGUUGCACUACAUAAUGGAGUAACAAGUGAAGAGCGUAAGCGGCGUUGCCAUGACGACAGAUGAAGCUGAGAAACAGACGGAGCAAUAUCGAUUUUUUUUAUCGGUCAAAAUAACAGAACACCAUACUAGAAUUCAGUCAAUUUUACGUCCGAUUGCUCUGUAGCAAGUAUUGCUAGUGACCUUGCAGUUCGCAUUUAAUAUUUUUGACUUGUAUACUUUCAUAGUGCUGAGAAACGCGAAAGAUCUGACAACGUAAUAUAAGCAAGAACAUAUAUACUUUGCACAGAUUUGGAUCGAAGUGAAUGGAAAAUGAGCUAAUUGCGAGAGGCUAUGCUAAGAGCGAGCAUUCUAAAAGAGUACGUGUAUCAAUAUAGAUAUAAUCCACUUAGAAUAAUUCAAGCUUAUGUCUUCUCAAGUAAAAUACCUGGUUUACACUCUCGUGUUGCUUCGAAUAAUAGAGAAAAACAGUAAUUAAGCAUCCAAUUAAAGUACCUAAUCAGAGAAAAUAAAGAUUCGAG
Ceratosolen solmsi marchali is the source of this 1196-nucleotide long non-coding RNA. RefSeq lists it as uncharacterized. The transcript has 3 exons. The record is from RefSeq and is a predicted model, not a curated record. NCBI's taxonomy places the organism in Eukaryota, Metazoa, Arthropoda, Insecta, Hymenoptera, Agaonidae.